This is a long non-coding RNA of Haliotis rubra (blacklip abalone), 97 nucleotides long. RefSeq lists it as uncharacterized. NCBI's taxonomy places the organism in Eukaryota, Metazoa, Mollusca, Gastropoda, Lepetellida, Haliotidae. The record is from RefSeq and is a predicted model, not a curated record. The transcript is spliced from 3 exons.
UCACCAGCAAAAACAUUUCACGAAAGUAAAACCCGUAGAUAAGCCGAUCCCCUUCUACAGACUGCUUUUUUGGUCCUUAAAAUUCGGCUUAUCUACG